Long non-coding RNA from Nicotiana attenuata, 420 nucleotides. RefSeq lists it as uncharacterized. NCBI's taxonomy places the organism in Eukaryota, Viridiplantae, Streptophyta, Magnoliopsida, Solanales, Solanaceae. The transcript is spliced from 3 exons. The record is from RefSeq and is a predicted model, not a curated record.
UCCCUGCAGUGCAGGCAACACACGCUCAUCUGUACACAACACAAGUCCGCCUUUUCCCCCCUUCUCUCUCUCUCUCUCUCUCUCUCUCUCUCUAGGGUUAGGGUUUCUUAACGGCGUUAUAUUUGAACCCUUGAGAGAUCAAAUAAUGGUGCAGCAAAUCCCCUUUUUGUGCGAAAAGCUCUUUAAUUCAAUCCUUCUUCACUCCUUCAGCUCAAAUAUGGCUUGAUUCUGCUCUUCUCUCGGUGGCAUUCCCGAUACGGAAAUGUAUAAUGUUCCUGAACAAGGACAUGCAGAUGCUUAUAUGAUUCAAGGGAAGGAGCCAAUGCAGAUCACCAGUCCGCUGCUUCAAAACUUUGAAACUAUGUACAAUGAAGAACUGCCCGAGUUUGUUGUUGAUCAGGGAUUAUAUUAUCCUACUAC